Molecule: long non-coding RNA, 1887 nt
Organism: Gasterosteus aculeatus aculeatus (three-spined stickleback)
Lineage: Eukaryota; Metazoa; Chordata; Actinopteri; Perciformes; Gasterosteidae
Source: Ensembl
UGAAAGAUGUCCUGGCGAUACGUUUCGCUGCCGUUAAUCUGCGAUGGCUCAGAGUCCAGGAUUGUGCCUUGACCUUCAGGCUGUACAGUAAUCCCGUUAGCCGCGGGCGGCCGGUGUGGAGAUCUCAGCAGACCUGUGCCGGCUGCGCCGCACUCUGGACCUCUACGCCGGCGGCAUGCAGAACCCCCUGUAGACACGCAGGAUGUUUAACUGGGUGGUGAAAGUGGUCCCACAACCCCCUGAAGCUCCUGGAACAGACGACGCCGCCAAGACCCCCGCCGGUGGUUCAACAGGGAAGCAACCUCCACAGAAAAACUCGGAUGAGAAUUCAGAGGACAGCCAGGCCCAGGCGGGAGUUUUAGGCUGGCUGUCCAAUGGGUUCGUCAGCGCCUUGCCUCAACCUUCGGGUUCCCCUCGACUCAGCAGGUCCACCUCUGAUGCCAAGCCAGGAGAGGAUGGAGAGAGGUCUGGAGUGAUAGGUUGGGUGACUCAGGGUCUGACCAAGGUGUUGCCUCAGCCUGAGGAAAAGUACAAGGAGGCGGAAAACAAUGACGAACCCACCGAGAUCUAUGAAGUCGAAACGAUGCCAGAUUUUGAUCCCCUCCCCCACAUCCCAGUGGUGGAGAUUUUGUCGGAGGACGAGUCGGAGGUGGAGACGCCUCAGUUCCCUCCAAACGUGGUGACGUGGAUAAAGCGGAUGGUCCCUCAACCAAUUUUACUGCCCCCUGGUGCCGUACCCAUUGAGCCAUCAAGCAGGGCAUCCCAUUCCUCACUGGACAAAAUUUUGUCUCCACCACCCGAGUCCCUCAGUGGAAUCUCACUGGAUACUGACAGCAAGGCCUCAGCUGUGGUUGGCUGGUUUGUGUCAGGACUCGGCCUGAAGAUGCCUCAGCCUGCACUUCCAUCCAGAGAUAAUGCUGAGAGUGCGACUGAAGUUCUACAGAAAGCUUCAUCCAAACUCAAACCUGACCUGGUCCUCGAAGACGUGGACUCGGACAACGAGGACCAGCAUAAACUCCAAGAUCAGUCCAGAGCUGCGGCGCUGACUCGGGAAGCGACACAGCCGGCACAGGCCGACCCGCAGCCAGAAUCCCCAGACAGUGCGGGAAGGUCUCAAGAAGACGCCGAGACCCAGACGGGCCGCUGGACGCCCUUCAUCGAAAACAUCAAGAAGGAGGCCGAAGGUGCUGCUUUUGCUAACAUGGAGGAACGUCUGCUGCAGGAGCGCGUGGACGUGGCACGGAUUGCUGAGGAGGUGGCCAGAGAGACGGCUGAGACGGCCAUCAGACAGAUGACCAGUGAGGGGCACUCCAUUAAUUUAUCACUGGGGAGUAAAGAGCUGCUGCAAGAGGAGCCUGAAGUCGAGCUGCCAGUGGAACAAGAAGAGGAGAGCGAAGUGGACAAAGUCACAGAAACAGAGCAAAGCCCGGCUGUGGAGACGGAGGAACUAGAGCCAAAAGAGGAAGAAAAGUCGCAGCAGACCACCGCCUCUCCACCUCCAAGUCCUGAACCAGUUCAGAUUGCUGCGCCGGAACCAGAACCAGAACCAGAACCAGAACCAGAACCAGAGCCAGAGGUCGAGCCCCAGGAAGCGCACUCAGAAGCCGAGCCUGUGACCCAGCAGCCACAGAGAGCAGAGGAAGGCGGUCAAAGCACUGAGGCGGACAAAGCUGGUGAAAAAGAGGAGGAAGCUCCUGGAGACGACUGUGGUGCUCCCAUCAGCUGCGAUGCAUUUAAGAACUGCCUGAUGCGCAUUCCUCACACCUCUGAGUGCCUCGGCAACAUCAACGCGUUCUUCAAAGAGAACGGCAUCUCCGCUCCCAAAAUACCCUCCAUGCCUACGCUUCCCACCCAGCUCUCCGAUGUUACCAAGCUCUUGCCCACCCU